Molecule: long non-coding RNA, 347 nt
Organism: Aedes albopictus (Asian tiger mosquito)
Lineage: Eukaryota; Metazoa; Arthropoda; Insecta; Diptera; Culicidae
Exons: 2
Source: RefSeq, a predicted model, not a curated record
UACUGAGGGGUGAUACUGAUAAUUUGCAGUACCAGUUUUCAGUGGGAUGUGGUACCAGAUUUACUGUCACACAUGACGUUUGACAGCCGAUUCACGAGGCCGGCGAUGUGAUCGAUGAUGAUUCUGUUUUGUUUGUGCUUGUGUGGAGCCGAGAGUCUGGAGAUGCUGGUGUUUCAUCGGAACCGACGUUUUUGGCCCAGGAAUGAACUAAAGAACAACCUUCGAUGGUGGUGUUCACCUAGUGGCAACAUAAGCAUCCAGAUUGGAAGGAACGUAACGAUUCUCAUCGCGGAUACGCUGGCGGUUGCUCCAGGUCAACAAAAAGUUUGUCCUGUUGGAUGUGAUUG